This 252-nucleotide ribosomal RNA is filed under the name uncultured bacterium. RNAcentral's name for it is "partial 16S ribosomal RNA". It matches the Rfam family "Bacterial small subunit ribosomal RNA", at positions 524 to 776 of the family's 1533-position model. The record is from RNAcentral.
UACGGAGGAUGCGAGCGUUAUCCGGAUUUAUUGGGUUUAAAGGGUGCGUAGGCGGAUCGUUAAGUCAGUGGUCAAAUUGAGGGGCUCAACCCCUUCCCGCCAUUGAAACUGGCGAUCUUGAGUGGAAGAGAAGUAUGCGGAAUGCGUGGUGUAGCGGUGAAAUGCAUAGAUAUCACGCAGAACCCCGAUUGCGAAGGCAGCAUGCCGGCUUCCUACUGACGCUGAAGCACGAAAGCGCGGGGAUCGAACAGG